GGGCCAGUGGCCGAGUGGUUAAAAGCGACAGACUGUAAAUCUGUUGAUCUUUGAUCUACGUAGGUUCAAAUCCUACCUUGCCCA
This 84-nucleotide transfer RNA is filed under the name Jaagichlorella hainangensis. RNAcentral's name for it is "tRNA-Tyr". It matches the Rfam family "tRNA". From Rfam's summary of the family: Transfer RNA (tRNA) molecules are approximately 80 nucleotides in length. Their secondary structure includes four short double-helical elements and three loops (D, anti-codon, and T loops). Further hydrogen bonds mediate the characteristic L-shaped molecular structure. tRNAs have two regions of fundamental functional importance: the anti-codon, which is responsible for specific mRNA codon recognition, and the 3' end, to which the tRNAs corresponding amino acid is attached (by aminoacyl-tRNA synthetases). tRNAs cope with the degeneracy of the genetic code in two manners: having more than one tRNA (with a specific anti-codon) for a particular amino acid; and 'wobble' base-pairing, i.e. permitting non-standard base-pairing at the 3rd anti-codon position. Lineage: Eukaryota; Viridiplantae; Chlorophyta; Trebouxiophyceae; Watanabeales; Watanabeaceae. The record is from RNAcentral.